Molecule: non-coding RNA, 118 nt
Organism: Pteropus alecto (black flying fox)
Lineage: Eukaryota; Metazoa; Chordata; Mammalia; Chiroptera; Pteropodidae
Source: Rfam
GUCUACAGCCAUGCUACCCUGAACAAGCCCUAUCUCAUCUGAUUUUAGAAGCUAAGCAAGGUUGGGCCUGGUUAGUACUUGGAUGGGAGACCACCUAGGAAGACUGUAGGCGUAAAAA